UCUGCUUGAUUAGCUAGCUUCCAGGGAGGAUCAAUAUGAAAUCCAAUUGCUUAAAUACUAUCUUUGUCGUACGAUCCAAAAAAUCCGCGAAACUUGCCAUCUGAUAAUCGAAGUCUACCACCUCAGCACCUUGACUGGGAUCACACAAGUGAAGUCCGGUCCGUAAGUGCCUUUGUAUAGAAGUAAUGGAACAUAGAUGAUUUUUUGGAUAUUGUGACUAAAGACAAUUGCGUCUGCUCACACAAUCUCUAUAACAUUUUAAAUCGGUUAGAUAAAGAUUAUUUGUCAUAUUUGAGCCUUUACAAGCCACAAAUAAACAACUA
RNAcentral lists this long non-coding RNA (323 nucleotides) under Daucus carota (carrot). Its description in RNAcentral is "long non-coding RNA (DCAR_LNC004907)". Lineage: Eukaryota; Viridiplantae; Streptophyta; Magnoliopsida; Apiales; Apiaceae. The record is from RNAcentral.